UAAUCAAGUGUUUUUAUGGCACUUUCAAAAAUCCAUAUCCACCUUGUGUGCAAUGUCAUCUCUCUGGGGGCUGCCGGCUGUCAAAAGCCGUGUGGUCACCUUUGGGGAUUUAUAUCUACUCAGAACUUUAGUGAUUUUGUCUGAAACAUAUUAUGAAUACUUAAUUCAAAAUA
This 173-nucleotide unclassified non-coding RNA is filed under the name soil metagenome. RNAcentral's name for it is "partial internal transcribed spacer 1". The record is from RNAcentral.